AGAGGUAAACAUGAGUCACCACACUUUCAUUAAAUGAAAAACUGAUAUAAGUGAAAUGAACAAAAAAGCCAAUCCCAUUCACCUUCGAAAGCAAAGGAGGCUGCAGAAACUGAACUCGGUUCUUAGAUUUCCAGGCCUCCCGGCCAUUUUCUACAGGCAUCAUUGCACAUUGUGACUGGUUCCCAGGGCAUAGCUCUUGACAGUUAAGUUUCCGUUGCUUGGCAAAGUACAGAAUAUCAAAAUCUCCAUCUUCCGAGGGCCUCUGUGGAGUUAAAAGAAGUAAAAUAAAAUAUCAUUCUAAUACUCCUGAGAAUAUAAGGCCUCGUCAUGAAAAGAACCCUCACUGCCUUGCUAUGUCUUAGCUCUGCCUGCCAAGUACUAAGAGGUCUCUUUGAAAUCUGAAAAUGAUUUUCAGUACAUUCCAUGAGAGAAGCCCAUCUGCUGAGAGAAAAUUUAAAUGGAACUUGUGAAUAGCUUUCUUUAUCAUGAGGUGGGAUGGUUUCUGAUCCCAACAUGGGUACCUACCAGAGAUGCCUGGACUUCAGGCCAGUCUAGACGAGCUAUGGAUCUCCGGCACCCAGGGCAAACUAUCCUAACCAGAGGAUAAUUCCAGGAAGUGAGAACAAAGAUAAUGUCACAUCACAAUCGUAAUAAUGAAGAACCAAAAUGACAAUGGCAGGAGAAAGCAGAGAAAAUAAAAUGUUACAAGAUAGAGAGGCGGUUAGGAAAUCACAAACUGAUCGUUUUUCUUCAGGACACACCACUGAGAAAAAUUAAAUCUUUAACCUCUGAUGGCUUCCUGUGGCUAAGCCACAGAAAUCUAAUUGAGAGGCUCAGGUCCACAGAAAUCUGCUGUCUGCUCCGGCUACACAAUCAUAUUAUGAUAAGCCUUUGACUCGAUUACUCUAAGAAACAAAGAAUUGUUGCUACGGCAUUAUUAUAUAGACUACCCAGCCAAACGAUGCUUUUUUACUCUUUGUUCACUAGUCUUUCCCCCCAUUAUCUCUGGCAAACAGAUGAAGGAGAAACCUCAGGAGACACUGUAUUGUGUUUGAUUCUGGGGGUUUUCCAAAUGCAUUUUGUAUUUCCAUCAUAGAAAAGACACAGAAUUGAGUAGCUGUAUAACAGACAGAAGAUAAUUACUUUGGGGAUAGCACUGUAAUAUUUCUUAUAUUACAAUACACUUUGUAUCUAUGUGGUGGGUGAAGAUGUUGGAACUACAAAGGCUUCUCACAAUUAUGUGCUUGCUGCUCGUUAUAUCUGCACAUUCUCAGACAGUGCAAGGAUACCUUUCUGUUUGUUUACAUUUAGCUCCAACAGGAUCUGCAUAGAAUAAACCCUAGCCAAGGGUUGGGAUCUCAGAAGAACUCUGUCCUUUUUCUUUCCCUGGCUCUGGCAGGUAAAAUGAAAAGGCCUGCAGGCUUUCAGAGGAGGAAGAGGUGCCUGAAGAAAUCUCCUUCCCUGUUCUCCUAAUACCAGAGUAACUUUAUUCACUGUUGCCUUAAACUUCCACCUCUUCAUACAAAAGUCCCCAUGUGAAAAAUCAGCUCCUCUGGCCUCCGCUAACUCUCCCAAGGACAGACAGCACAGCCCUCGCCCUGCUGCCCAAACAGAGCUUUUCUCAGAGGCAUUAACUUCCCGUUACCAUGACCUCUUCGCAACUCUGCCACUUGGCAUUUGACUUAGAGCCAAGCCUAGUUCUUGGCUCUCAACAAGUGUUCUCUGAAUAAAUAAAUAGGUGAGCAAAUUAAUCAACUAAAGAUUGCAACUAAACAGUCAGGAGGCCUAGGAACAUGGGAUGUUGACACCUGCUAGGAGUACAAUUCUCUAUUAAGAUCUAUGAGAUUGUGAUUGCAAACAGAGGACCCCAAAGAGCAUGGUAAUUUCUGAGUAACCAAAAGCAGCCAGCAUUGGUUGUAUUAGUUUUAUGUCCUAUGGCAUGCAGCGUAUAUAGCCUGUGGAGAUAAAUUUUAAUAGUCAAUAUAGUCUUAAAAUGUAUCUGCAAGUGUUACUUGUUGCAAGUAACUAAUAAUUUCUUGUUGCAAGAAAUUAUAACUAUAAUAAUGAUACCGAAAACAACCAAUUAAGGGCAAUACAGGUUAAUUUACCAUUAAAACUAACAGUAUGGGUAGAUAUUUUCAGUGAUGUCUUUGUUCUGUGGAUAGGCCGUGGGUUCACGGGCUUUUACUCUUCCAUUAAAAAUAAUGAAAUUCCCUGGUGGCCUAGUGGUUAAGGAAUCGGCAUUGUCACUGAAGUGAUGCAGGUUCAAUCCCUGGCCUGGGAGCUUUGCAUGCUGCUGGUGCAGCCAAAGGAAAAAAAUACACACACACACACACACACACACACACACACACACACAUAAUCAUACAUGUCUUGAACCCACCAUGACUGUGAGCAACAAUCAUAGUCCUUAUAGUUGGGGGUUAAAAAAAAAAAAAAAAAAAAAACUAAAGGGAGCAAAUCUUCCUAUAAUGUAAAAUCCUCAAUCUAUUAUGAUAAUUAUCUGUCUUUGUAUAGCUCUUCAAUUUAACAAGCACUCAGUGUUCUACUUUAUUUAAUGAUUUAGAUUUUUGUCUACAGGUUAAUAAAAUCCUUUGUUAGUACUGAAAACGGCAAAUAGUGCUCAAUAUCCUAAGUGAGCUGAUUAUGUGAUAUGAGACUGAUUUUUAAGCAGAUGUUCUGUUUAGGGGACAUUAUGGACUCAUGACCCAUUUGAAUCUUCACAAUAAACUAUUUAAUAAAAAAGAAAGCAAGAACAGGGUUCUGCUAUAUUCAGGCACAAAGCUUAAAAGACUUGUGAAAACCAAUUCAAUCCUUAUUUUCUCUCAUUCAUGAGCAAUGUCCUUCACUGUCAUAAAAACUAAUCCUGGUUAAAGUUCAAUUCACAGGACAGAACUGAAUUAAUUAAUGUUCCAACAACAAUAACAACAAUAAAAAGAGUAAUAACUGAGGAUGACUUUCCACUUAUAUAAGGCUUUGCUGUUUCCAUGACAUUAGAACCCCUAUUUGUUACCAAUGCUAGCAUUCACUCAGCAUGCAGGCACCAGAACAGAGCACCCAGCCCGAGCUGGAUAAAUAAUCAUUAGUGACGGUGACUGUGUUAACGAAACCAUCCACAGCGGUCUGUAUCAUUCACUCAGGAGUCAGUGUGAAAUGUGACAUAAACACUUCAUUUGUAGGACUUACCUACAGAGAGCAACACAAUUAACAGGGAUGAGAUUAGAAUUUAAGGAGAGGGAGCGUUUUACCACACAAGGCUAUAAUGGUUCCUAAGAAGAGUCAGUUACUCCAGGUUGAGAGCUCACCCUGAACACAAGAGGAAUCACAAAGAAAAUGCCAUUUUUCUGUAUGUCCUUGAAAAGGACUUUGGAGUCACCAUUUAAACCUGGGCUAUAAAAGACUCUAACUUCUAUUGCCUUCAUAACAAUUGCUCCAAAGGUGGAUCUCUUGGAUGGCAACCUGUCUGCAAGUAAAUGCAACGUCACAGAAUAUGGGUUAAGGAAAGUGCUUUGCUGAGGAAAGCGGAGGUUUGCAAAGCUAGGCUCAGCAAGAGUAGACGACGUGGGGUCACCCAUUGUCCCCAUGGAGAGGGGGCCAGGGCACCCCACUGGACAGGUAGUGUGGCUUAUGUCCAAACCCCCUUUCUCUAUGACUUUGUGUCUUAGACACACAGGAGAAGGUGCUUUGUUAUAGGAAGUACAGACAGUCUCCUGCUGCUAAGUGGGCUGUAUUUAGAUGCCAGUUGCUUACGGAAAUUGUCUGGGAAAGCCAGGCAUCCAGCAUCCAGAGAUCUUGAGGCCCAUGUGGGAUUGCAGGCUUCCCUGCUAAGAAGAAAAGCCACCCUUCCUGUGAGAAGCUGAGCUUGGAUGCAGCACCACUCCCUGGCAAGGGAAACACCCAGGGCCAGCCUGAAUCACUGUUAAGGCAAACCAGAGAGGGCACCUAAGGUCAUUUGCAGAUAUCUGUUCCCUGCAUCACGAUAUGACCCACGAAAGUUUGCAAAAGACUGUGAAAUAAAAUCAUACUAAUGUGAACUCUUUGCUUCCCUGUGUCUUAUUUGGCUUUAUUAGAAAGAUCCUGUUAUAACUAACAUCCAAUAAAGUAUUCUGUGAAAAGAGGAUAUCCCUUGCCAGGCUUCUUUCUUUUUCUUAGAACCAAGUGUACAUAUUUCUCUACCAAGCACUUAUAAAUCCUUUGCCUCCUUUUGUUUUGUAAUGUAUUACACUAGAACCAAUGCUAGGGGAAAAAACUGUGGUAUAGGUCACCUUGCUGUCAGAGCUCCUCACCUGCACCCUGCUGUCUCCCGCCCUGGGUACAAGGUCUUUGCAUUGCCCACGUGGGCCUCAGCCUCAGGGCACUAAUCUCCCAUGUGUGCCCUCUGAGCAGUAAGACUGCCUGCUCCGUACUGCCUUCUCUAGCAAUGCACGGUGAUUUCAUAUGCAAGUACAUUAACUCUAUUAAACUGUUUCACUUUCUAGUGUGCAGUCAACUGAGUGGUGAUGAAAAUUCUAAACACUCAAAGGGUUUAUUUUAUCAAGGAAGGCUUCUGAGUCCUUUACUUUCUGCAGUCCUUUUGCAUUGGCUCCAGCCUGGCUUACUGACACAGAGACGGCGGGUUGUGAGUGCAGAUGAGGCUUCAUGGGACACACCUGUAGUCCUUUGGUUACUUUGCAUCAGACUUUGCCUUGAUCUAGGAUCUCCCAGUUCCUCCAAUUUCCAUUUUAUCAUCAUUUAUUUUAUGCAUCACUGUUGCAGACCACUUUAUCCAGUUUCUGGGAUAAGGGUGUGUACAAAUAGGCUAGUAGUAAGUGUGUGCUUGGGUAUUGCUCCCUAAUAGUUGUUUUUGGUGUAUGUGAAUCUCGAAAGUGAAACCACAGUCUCCAGUUCUUGUUGAUUGACUAUUAAAUACUUGGUUGACUAUUAAUAAUGCUAAAAUUGUGCAGUGAACUUGGAACCAAAACAAAUCUGUUUGAUUCCUGACCCUAUAUUAGAAUAAAUAAACUCUAAAUUUCCCUUCUCCUCUGUUGUUUCUCCACAUUGAGGAGGGGUAGGGUAUAUUUCACGAGAAGUCACCAAAGACCACAUUCUAGGCAACUUUUUACUGUCAAGGACAAACUUUUUUUAAGAAAAAAGGAAAUUUCAUAUUAAAAUAAUUUAUUAACUGAUUAAAUACCAAGACAAGAUGACUCAAGUCUCAUUAAUCAACUACUAGCCAACCUUCCGAACCUCCUUUACGAGACGUUUUAAUAUUCCUUAAGCUAAGUUUCCUAAAGUCUAAGACAGACUUCCUGACCUCGAGCCCAAAUCAACAAAGUUCUCUCGAGCAUCCCCCAAGUCCUCUGGGCGAGGGCCUGAUGGCGGAUGUGAGAAGACACUGAGGGUUCAGCAUGUACUGUGCCACCAUGCCGAGGAGUGUCUGCAGCCUCAGAGAAUCAAGCAGGUACCUGUCUGUGUUUCCUGUGGUCUUAGAAGCUGGGAACCAAACCAAGUCACACCAUGUUUCAACUGCAGCGAAUCAUUAGCAAAACAGACAAAUGGCAACAGUGCAAUCGCAACAACAAGCAGGUGGCACUUUCUCAACACCAAAGAUGUUAUCCUGAAAACACAACUAAUAGGCUAGAAUAUAAACAGCACAACUUUCUCAUAAAUAAGAAGUCUUGCAGCUGUCAGUAGAUCCAAGUCUUCUGAUUCACUUCUCUACUGUGGGCAUCUGAGGUCCCGUCCUAAUAUAUGUGAGUGAAAACUGAGCAAAGAAACAAUGAAAUAAAUGGCACUCCUGCCAAUGUCUCAGAACCACUAGAGGACACAUCAAAAAUUUCAACAUAAACCCCAGGUCUUCUGCUUCUAUCAAAAUGCUUCUUAGUUGCUCUUAUUUCCAUGUUAAUCAGCCUCGAGCUGGUUCAAGAUCUGUCAGCAUAGAGUGAGAUUCUUUCCUGUUUUUAAUAUCAAAUUAGGAAUUGAAUUCCUUUGUGAUGCAUCUCUUUAAAGUCUAGAAUUAUUUUCUUCUCAAUUAUUACAUCACAUUCAAUUCUGAUGGCCAUAGGAUACUAUUUCCUCACUUUUAAAAAAUCAUCAAAGUAUCUGAAUAUUUUAGGUAUGACUGUGAGAUGAACUGUCCUAAAUAAAUCUUAGUUCCUUGACGUUUGAUGGAACGUGACGUCAAAAUCGAGUAUUCUACAUGUACAAAAGCACUCUAUGUGUCAGCAGUAGCACAGCUGCUCCAGAAUAAGCUAGAGUGAAUGACCAAAGCCCACCUUCCCCAUUACGCCCCUCUACAUACAGCAUCAUCGCCCCCAUUCACAGUAUUUCCCACCAUAUAACUUCCCAGAUGGACGCAGAGGCCCCUCUGCCAAAUACAGACUAAAUAUACUACCCUAAAUACAGUUCAAUCAUAAAGUCGAAUCAUAGAUAGACAGUUCUUUCAGAUACUUCAAAACAAUAAAAAGCAUUUUUAAAAAUAUUGCUAUAGGCUCAGAUUCUGCCAGCAUGUUAAGUAUUGGUAUAUAUCACCAUCCCUGGAGUUAUAUAUUCUCAUUACUUAUUUUCCCCAAGCAGGAUCUACUUAAAUUUCUAUGUGAUAAAUCAAAUUUCCAGCUGGGCCAAUGCCCCAGUAGUAGGAAUUAUAUGGGAUAUAUCACAGCUACAAUCUUUAUGAUCAACUCAUACUGUUCUCCCCAGCUAUUGCAAAAGUCCAGCAAAUUUUCCAGGCCUCCUGCUUUGUGGAUGGUGGAAAUGUUAUAGUUACGCUGAGAUAAAAGUUAACGAAAAUUAUAUACGUAGAAAAAAAGUGUAUGUGAGUGUGGGUGUGUUUACUGAUAUAUAUAUAUAUCCCUCAUCAGGUUUACAGGAAGCAGGCAUUAGAGCAGGUCUUCUUCUUUCAAGCAGACCCCACAUCGUUUUCCCAGGUUUUAUCUAAAUACAAAUUCCAAGAUAACCUGGACACUUUCCCUUUCACAUCCUUGCAUUUUUUUCCCACGAAUAAUUUCUGGGCUCAUCUCCCGAUUCUGCCACACAGAGGCUUUGUGACAGUUGACGGGUUACUUAACUUCUUACAGCCUCUCCUUGAGAAUGGAGAUAUUAAUAUCACGUG
This 7090-nucleotide long non-coding RNA is filed under the name Sus scrofa (pig). RNAcentral's name for it is "lncRNA (ENSSSCG00000053414.1)". The record is from RNAcentral. Lineage: Eukaryota; Metazoa; Chordata; Mammalia; Artiodactyla; Suidae.